RNAcentral lists this ribosomal RNA (485 nucleotides) under uncultured bacterium. RNAcentral's name for it is "partial 16S ribosomal RNA". It matches the Rfam family "Bacterial small subunit ribosomal RNA", at positions 28 to 523 of the family's 1533-position model. The record is from RNAcentral.
GACGAACGCUGGCGGCGUGCUUAACACAUGCAAGUCGAACGGUGAAGGUGGAGCUUGCUCCGCCGGAUCAGUGGCGAACGGGUGAGUAACACGUGGGCAACCUGCCCCUCACUUCGGGAUAACUCCGGGAAACCGGGGCUAAUACCGGAUACGACCUCCUUGGGCAUCCUUGGAGGUGGAAAGUUUUUCGGUGAGGGAUGGGCCCGCGGCCUAUCAGCUUGUUGGUGAGGUAGUGGCUCACCAAGGCGACGACGGGUAGCCGGCCUGAGAGGGCGAGCGGCCACACUGGGACUGAGACACGGGCCAGACUCCUACGGGAGGCAGCAGUGGGGAAUAUUGCGCAAUGGGCGAAAGCCUGACGCAGCAACGCCGCGUGCGGGAUGAAGGCCUUCGGGUUGUAAACCGCUUUCAGCAGGGAAGAAGCCGCAAGGUGACGGUACCUGCAGAAGAAGCACCGGCUAACUACGUGCCAGCAGCCGCAGUAA